RNAcentral lists this ribosomal RNA (499 nucleotides) under uncultured Glomeromycotina. Its description in RNAcentral is "partial small subunit ribosomal RNA". It matches the Rfam family "Eukaryotic small subunit ribosomal RNA", at positions 591 to 1092 of the family's 1831-position model. Lineage: Eukaryota; Fungi; Glomeromycota. The record is from RNAcentral.
CCAAUAGCGUAUAUUAAAGUUGUUGCAGUUAAAAAGCUCGUAGUUGAAUUUCGGGAUCAAUAUGUCGGUCGUGCCUCGGUACGUACUGGCAUCAUUGGUUUCUCCUUUCUGAUGAACCAUGAUGCCAUUAAUUUGGUGUUAUGGGGAAUCAGGACUGUUACUUUGAAAAAAUUAGAGUGUUUAAAGCAGGCUCACGCUUGAAUACAUUAGCAUGGAAUAAUGAAAUAGGACGUUUGAUUCUAUUUUGUUGGUUUCUAGGAUCGACGUAAUGAUUAAUAGGGAUAGUUGGGGGCAUUAGUAUUCAAUUGUCAGAGGUGAAAUUCUUGGAUUUAUUGAAGACUAACUACUGCGAAAGCAUUUGCCAAGGAUGUUUUCAUUAAUCAAGAACGAAAGUUAGGGGAUCGAAGACGAUCAGAUACCGUCGUAGUCUUAACCAUAAACUAUGCCGACUAGGGAUCGGAUGAUGUUAAUUUUUUAAUGACUCAUUCGGCGCCUUACG